Molecule: unclassified non-coding RNA, 117 nt
Filed under: Chryseobacterium soldanellicola
Lineage: Bacteria; Pseudomonadati; Bacteroidota; Flavobacteriia; Flavobacteriales; Weeksellaceae
Description: Flavo-1 RNA
Source: RNAcentral
AUAUAGCCCUGAUUGGAGCUUUGUUUGAGCUCAUUUUAGAAAGUUUUUGGUUGCGGCGGCAAAGCCGCCGCAACCAAAAACUUUCUAAAAUAGCGAGUGCGGAAAGCAGGAAAUUGC